UCCUCCGUAGCUCAAUCGGCAGAGCAUUCGGCUGUUAACCGAAGGGUUACUGGUUCGAGUCCAGUCGGAGGAGCCG
Molecule: transfer RNA, 76 nt
Filed under: uncultured Actinomycetospora sp.
Lineage: Bacteria; Bacillati; Actinomycetota; Actinomycetes; Pseudonocardiales; Pseudonocardiaceae
Description: tRNA-Asn-GTT
Rfam family: tRNA
About the family: Transfer RNA (tRNA) molecules are approximately 80 nucleotides in length. Their secondary structure includes four short double-helical elements and three loops (D, anti-codon, and T loops).
Source: RNAcentral